ACUCUGGAACUGCCUUUGAAACUGUGAGACUCGAGUGCGGGAGAGGUGAGUGGAAUUCCCAGUGUAGAGGUGAAAUUCGUAGAUAUUGGGAAGAACACCGGUGGCGAAGGCGGCUCACUGGCCCGUUUCUGACGCUCAUGCACGACAGCGUGGGGAUCAAACAGGAUUAGAUACCCUGGUAGUCCACGCCGUAAACUAUGGACGCUAGCCGUUGUCCAGCUUGCUGGUCAGUGGCGCAGCUAACGCAUUAAGCGUCCCGCCUGGGGAGUACGGCCGCAAGGUUGAAACUCAAAGGAAUUGACGGGGGCCCGCACAAGCGGUGGAGCAUGUGGUUUAAUUCGACGCAACGCGCAGAACCUUACCAGGGUUUGACAUCCUGUGCUCGCCGGAGAGAUCCGGUUUUCCCGCAAGGG
RNAcentral lists this ribosomal RNA (413 nucleotides) under uncultured bacterium. RNAcentral's name for it is "bacterial SSU rRNA". It matches the Rfam family "Bacterial small subunit ribosomal RNA", at positions 612 to 1025 of the family's 1533-position model. The record is from RNAcentral.